GUGGGGGUAGCCAAGUGGUAAGGCACUGGAUGGACAAUUGUCCAUACUCCUUGGUUCACAAACUUGUCUGCAAAGACCGAAGAAUUGAGGGUUAUCGGUUCCAAGAUUCGUAGGUUCAAAUCCUGCUCCCCACACCA
RNAcentral lists this transfer RNA (137 nucleotides) under Hassallia byssoidea VB512170. RNAcentral describes it as "tRNA-OTHER". It matches the Rfam family "tRNA". Rfam says of the family: Transfer RNA (tRNA) molecules are approximately 80 nucleotides in length. Their secondary structure includes four short double-helical elements and three loops (D, anti-codon, and T loops). Further hydrogen bonds mediate the characteristic L-shaped molecular structure. tRNAs have two regions of fundamental functional importance: the anti-codon, which is responsible for specific mRNA codon recognition, and the 3' end, to which the tRNAs corresponding amino acid is attached (by aminoacyl-tRNA synthetases). tRNAs cope with the degeneracy of the genetic code in two manners: having more than one tRNA (with a specific anti-codon) for a particular amino acid; and 'wobble' base-pairing, i.e. permitting non-standard base-pairing at the 3rd anti-codon position. The record is from RNAcentral. Lineage: Bacteria; Bacillati; Cyanobacteriota; Cyanophyceae; Nostocales; Tolypothrichaceae.